GUUGUGGCUCAGUGGUAGAGCACUUGCCUAGAAUGUGUGAGGCACUGGGUUCAAUUCCCUGGUACCACA
Molecule: transfer RNA, 69 nt
Filed under: Ictidomys tridecemlineatus (thirteen-lined ground squirrel)
Lineage: Eukaryota; Metazoa; Chordata; Mammalia; Rodentia; Sciuridae
Description: Spermophilus tridecemlineatus (thirteen-lined ground squirrel) tRNA
Rfam family: tRNA
About the family: Transfer RNA (tRNA) molecules are approximately 80 nucleotides in length.
Source: Rfam by way of RNAcentral